This 230-nucleotide unclassified non-coding RNA is filed under the name Hevea brasiliensis (rubber tree). Lineage: Eukaryota; Viridiplantae; Streptophyta; Magnoliopsida; Malpighiales; Euphorbiaceae. The record is from RNAcentral.
CAUCUAAUUCUGUAAGACUAGGCAUAUUCACAAGUUCGUUUGGUAUUGUGCCAGAUAGAAAAUUGUUAGAGAGAAUCAACUUUUGAACAGAUGUAAGCAAUGAAAAGCUAGGAGAAAUAGAGCCCGCAAGACCCAUAUUCUUGAAGUUAAUUAUAGUUAUGUUUUCAGGGUUGCCAGUACAUGUAACACCUUUGAAAUUCUCACAAGGAUUGUUCCCUUCCCAGCCUUGG